RNAcentral lists this ribosomal RNA (466 nucleotides) under uncultured bacterium. RNAcentral's name for it is "partial 16S ribosomal RNA". It matches the Rfam family "Bacterial small subunit ribosomal RNA", at positions 30 to 507 of the family's 1533-position model. The record is from RNAcentral.
CGAACGCUGGCGGCGUGCUUAACACAUGCAAGUCGAACGGAAAGGCCCUGCUUUUGUGGGGUGCUCGAGUGGCGAACGGGUGAGUAACACGUGAGUAACCUGCCCUUGACUUUGGGAUAACUUCAGGAAACUGGGGCUAAUACCGGAUAGGAGCUCCUGCUGCAUGGUGGGGGUUGGAAAGGUUCGGCGGUUGGGGAUGGACUCGCGGCUUAUCAGCUUGUUGGUGGGGUAGUGGCUUACCAAGGCUUUGACGGGUAGCCGGCCUGAGAGGGUGACCGGCCACAUUGGGACUGAGAUACGGCCCAGACUCCUACGGGAGGCAGCAGUGGGGAAUAUUGCACAAUGGGCGGAAGCCUGAUGCAGCAACGCCGCGUGCGGGAUGACGGCCUUCGGGUUGUAAACCGCUUUCGCCUGUGACGAAGCGUGAGUGACGGUAGUGGGUAAAGAAGCACCGGCUAACUACGUG